Molecule: long non-coding RNA, 1028 nt
Filed under: Homo sapiens (human)
Lineage: Eukaryota; Metazoa; Chordata; Mammalia; Primates; Hominidae
Description: HSALNT0148360
Source: RNAcentral
GGUGGGGGCAAGGCCUAACCUCUGGUAGGGAUUUCUUGCACCUUCUACACCUGGAAGGGUUGUACACCCCACAUCCGAGAAAGGCCAAGGCCUCUGCAUUUCCACAUGUGAGGAAACCACCCCUCUGUAUCUGGGAGAGGUCUCUUAAGCCAGUGAUUGUCACCUAUUCUGAUCCGGCCGUCUUCUCAUCCCGCUCUACAUGCUCUCCUUGGAGGAUCACAUCCCUGAAGCUAUAUCAUGAAGACUCCCAGUGCUCCCAAGUCUAGCCUUAACUUCUCUCUGGAAUCCUAGACUCAUAUAACUAAGUGCCUACUGUAAUCGGGGCAGUAUUGAUUCCUGGUUCACUUACUAACUUUGUGAUCUUGAGCAAGUUACUAAAUCUCUCUUAGCCUCAGCUUCCUCAUCUGUAAAAUGGUUGUAAUGCUACCUCUCAGGGUUGUUAUUCACUAAUUUAUAGCAGAUCGAUCACAUCUCAGCAAAUGCCAGCUGACACAACCCCCAGGACCAUGUGACUAAGAGGCCCCUUCCCCCAAUCCAAUGCCAUGAAAUUCACAUAAGACCCCUGUAAAUCCAGAUGCUAUCUUGAAAGAAGAAAGGGAAGACUGAGUCAUCCAAAGCUACCAAAGUACUUAGAGACUGUCUAAAAUAAAUUAUUGGAUCCUAUAGAGUUUACCAGAGUGGAUUACUUUUAGCUCCCCCCCACUGCCCAUUACCCAGCAGGGUGAGGGCAUUGUGAGAAAGAUCAGCCUAGUUAUAGGAAACAGAGGAGACUUAAAUCAUCGCACAUCUGAGUGUAAUGUGAGCGAAUUUUGUGACCCAGCUGCAGGAGUUCAGAUUUUAUCCUGAAAACAGUGGGGAGCCACUGAAGAAUUUUUGAGCAGAAGAGUAAUGCGAUCAUAUCCAGAAAUUAGUAGGAUGAUUUGGGCUAUGGUGUGGAAUGGGGGCUUGAAAGCAUUUGAGAGUGAAGGCAAGGAUUAAUAAUAAGGGACUGAAAUGAUGGAAGGAAAAAGUUGUAGAGAGAAAAGGAG